Molecule: long non-coding RNA, 254 nt
Organism: Megalops cyprinoides (Indo-Pacific tarpon)
Lineage: Eukaryota; Metazoa; Chordata; Actinopteri; Elopiformes; Megalopidae
Exons: 3
Source: RefSeq, a predicted model, not a curated record
CUGGAGGGAGUGAUGAAGGCCAUGUUAAGUCUGUGCGAACUGGGAAGAACAUUCAGGGUGGGCUGUGAGUGAGUCUGCAUGGGGUCCAAAACAGGUGAUACUUUGUGUCACGGGUUAGCAGACCCGGACACCCAACUGCCCCGACCACAGUCAGCCCACCACAAUGCAAGACCGGGCCCCGGGAGAACCUUGCCCCCUCCCUCCCGAAGGAUAGCGCCCCCCGCAGGCCAGUGCACACUCACACUCUGGCAGGU